GACGAAGGAUGCAAGCGUUAUCCGGAUUCAUUGGGUUUAAAGGGAGCGUAGGUGGCCUUAUAAGUCAGUGGUGAAAUCUCUGGGCUUAACCCAGAAAUUGCCAUUGAUACUGUAGGGCUUGAGUACAGUUGCUGUGGGGCGGAAUAUGACAUGUAGUGGUGAAAAUACAUAGAGAUGUCAUAGAACACCGAUUGCGAAGGCAGCUCACAAAAACUGUAACUGACACUGAGGCUCGAAAGUGCGGGGGAUCGAAACAGG
This 258-nucleotide ribosomal RNA is filed under the name uncultured bacterium. RNAcentral describes it as "partial 16S ribosomal RNA". It matches the Rfam family "Bacterial small subunit ribosomal RNA", at positions 524 to 776 of the family's 1533-position model. The record is from RNAcentral.